This 73-nucleotide transfer RNA is filed under the name Ipomoea nil (Japanese morning glory). It matches the Rfam family "tRNA". Rfam says of the family: Transfer RNA (tRNA) molecules are approximately 80 nucleotides in length. The record is from Rfam by way of RNAcentral. Lineage: Eukaryota; Viridiplantae; Streptophyta; Magnoliopsida; Solanales; Convolvulaceae.
CCCGGUCUAGCUCAGUCGGUAGAGCGCAAGGCUCUUAACCUUGUGGUCCUGGGUUCAAGUUCCAGGGUGGGCG